GUGAUACAAAUAAAAUACCUCAGGAGGG
Molecule: small RNA, 28 nt
Filed under: Bombyx mori (domestic silkworm)
Lineage: Eukaryota; Metazoa; Arthropoda; Insecta; Lepidoptera; Bombycidae
Description: ovarian small RNA-17853
Source: RNAcentral